CCCUAGCCCAGAUAGCAGUGAAAAUCCUUUUUAUUUUUCCUUUAAAAAUAAAAAGAUUGAAACGGAUAGCUGGAAAAAGC
Molecule: small RNA, 80 nt
Filed under: Flavobacterium sp. 1
Lineage: Bacteria; Pseudomonadati; Bacteroidota; Flavobacteriia; Flavobacteriales; Flavobacteriaceae
Description: Flavo-1 RNA
Rfam family: Flavo-1 RNA
Source: RNAcentral